GCAAGUCGAGAUUCGAGUAUACAGAUUGCCACUCUCGCCGGUUACGGUCUGUGGCGAGUGAAUGGCGAGAGUGUCACCGAUGACGUAUAUGGACGGGAGCGGUUUCCUCUCUUUCGUAUUAUCUGAACAACGACGAGGUGAACUUGGUGUUUCAUUUACGUCUGGCACCCACACAUCUCGCAGAACGAACUAAAAGCGUCUAGUUAUCUAUAGCUACAAAGUUAAUGCGUCAGACAGCGGAGCAGGGCGAUUGACGUGGAUGUAAGACGAGAGCGAGACGACGGCCUGAAGGAGGAAGAAACGACAGCGUCAACGUUUGCUGCUUUGAAUUUGAGUUCGGUACUUCGUCAGUGACCGGUAUAUAGGCGCCUGACUGACUGUUCUAUUUCCUCUUUGUGGCGGUUGGCGUAGGCGUGGCUCGGUACCACGCGGUCGCUAUUUUCACAGCAGAUUGAUAUUUUGGAACGACAGUCACAUGAUGCAUGGAAUAGUUACUCUCACACUCUAUUUAGCGCUGGAUUGUUUACAAGUCUCAAUUUGUCUCUUUCCGCGCGGUUUCGGGAAACUGUUCGCCACGUACGUAUAAUGUGUGUUCUUUGUCACGCUCUUACUUCCGUCUGGCAAGGAAGCAGCUGUCGAUCUUCAGUAAACAAAAGAGGUGUAUUCUAAAUUUAGCAUGAUACGUCAUUAACGCCGUCCAGAAUUCUUUUCAGAGCGACGUAGACAGAUCGUGUAGUUCAGUUAAUAGGCAGUUAAACAUUUUUGUGUUUGCGUGACGGUCAUCGACCCAUGAGCAGUACUGCACGGUAUUGUAGUGUAGACUUAUUGUCAGCUGCCUGGUUGGUACUUAAAUUAGAUUGUAUAACAUGCGCAGCUAGGUGUCUGUGGGACAGUGAGACACACUGAGUUGUGGAUGACUUCUUUGCUAGAGAUAAGGAGCCUGGUCAGGAUUAAUUAACUAUGUUUAGCUAAGAUGUUUGCACUUGUGUAUGACCGGGGGCUCGAGGGGCGGCAGCCUCUUCGCUCAGUGUAGGAUUUGAAAUUUUCUGUACCAGUGACUUCUGUUUACGGUCCGACACGCGAGGUAGUUAGUGCUUACUCAUGAUGACGUCCACACGUGAACAUUCUCCUACGCCAC
Molecule: long non-coding RNA, 1138 nt
Organism: Corticium candelabrum
Lineage: Eukaryota; Metazoa; Porifera; Homoscleromorpha; Homosclerophorida; Plakinidae
Exons: 3
Source: RefSeq, a predicted model, not a curated record